RNAcentral lists this small nucleolar RNA (86 nucleotides) under Helianthus annuus (common sunflower). RNAcentral's name for it is "sRNA HanXRQr2_Chr11g0492961". It matches the Rfam family "Small nucleolar RNA SNORD25". From Rfam's summary of the family: U25 is a member of the C/D class of snoRNA which contain the C (UGAUGA) and D (CUGA) box motifs. U25 is found in gene clusters in plants, and within the U22 snoRNA host gene (UHG) in mammals. The record is from Rfam by way of RNAcentral. Lineage: Eukaryota; Viridiplantae; Streptophyta; Magnoliopsida; Asterales; Asteraceae.
AGCGACUAUGAUGAGCCAAUACAGACCUGUAAUGAUUUGCGAGCAUGAUCGCAAUUUAUUAUGAACAUCUAAGGGACUGAGUCUUA